UACAGAGGUCUCAAGCGUUGUUCGGAUUCAUUGGGCGUAAAGGGUGCGUAGGCGGCGCGGCAAGUCGGGUGUGAAAUUUCGAGGCUUAACUUCGAAACUGCAUUCGAUACUGCCGUGCUUGAGGACUGGAGAGGAGACUGGAAUUUACGGUGUAGCGGUGAAAUGCGUAGAUAUCGUAAGGAAGACCAGUGGCGAAGGCGGGUCUCUGGACAGUUCCUGACGCUGAGGCACGAAGGCCAGGGGAGCAAACGGG
This 253-nucleotide ribosomal RNA is filed under the name uncultured bacterium. RNAcentral describes it as "partial 16S ribosomal RNA". It matches the Rfam family "Bacterial small subunit ribosomal RNA", at positions 524 to 776 of the family's 1533-position model. The record is from RNAcentral.